UGUAGCUCAGUGGUAGAGCUUGUGCUUAAUUAGCAUCAAGGCCCUGGGUUCAAACCCCAGCA
RNAcentral lists this transfer RNA (62 nucleotides) under Ictidomys tridecemlineatus (thirteen-lined ground squirrel). RNAcentral's name for it is "Spermophilus tridecemlineatus (thirteen-lined ground squirrel) tRNA". It matches the Rfam family "tRNA", at positions 6 to 65 of the family's 71-position model. From Rfam's summary of the family: Transfer RNA (tRNA) molecules are approximately 80 nucleotides in length. Their secondary structure includes four short double-helical elements and three loops (D, anti-codon, and T loops). The record is from Rfam by way of RNAcentral. Lineage: Eukaryota; Metazoa; Chordata; Mammalia; Rodentia; Sciuridae.